GACGAACGCUGGCGGCGUGCCUAACACAUGCAAGUCGAACGGUAGCACAGAGAGCUUGCUCUCGGGUGACGAGUGGCGGACGGGUGAGUAACGUCUGGGAAACUGCCCGAUGGAGGGGGAUAACUACUGGAAACGGUAGCUAAUACCGCAUAACGUCGCAAGACCAAAGUGGGGGACCUUCGGGCCUCACACCAUCGGAUGUGCCCAGAUGGGAUUAGCUAGUAGGUGGGGUAAUGGCUCACCUAGGCGACGAUCCCUAGCUGGUCUGAGAGGAUGACCAGCCACACUGGAACUGAGACACGGUCCAGACUCCUACGGGAGGCAGCAGUGGGGAAUAUUGCACAAUGGGCGCAAGCCUGAUGCAGCCAUGCCGCGUGUAUGAAGAAGGCCUUCGGGUUGUAAAGUACUUUCAGCGGGGAGGAAGGCGGUGAAGUUAAUAGCUUCACCGAUUGACGUUACCCGCAGAAGAAGCACCGGCUAACUCCGUGCCAGCAGCCGCCGUAA
Molecule: ribosomal RNA, 504 nt
Filed under: uncultured bacterium
Lineage: Bacteria
Description: partial 16S ribosomal RNA
Rfam family: Bacterial small subunit ribosomal RNA
Source: RNAcentral